Homalodisca vitripennis (glassy-winged sharpshooter) is the source of this 433-nucleotide long non-coding RNA. RefSeq lists it as uncharacterized. Lineage: Eukaryota; Metazoa; Arthropoda; Insecta; Hemiptera; Cicadellidae. The record is from RefSeq and is a predicted model, not a curated record. The transcript is spliced from 2 exons.
UGUAACUUGCCGAUUCUUUCAGCAUUGUUCUAUAAUAUAAUAAAUCAUUUUGUUUUAACGUUUAACACAUAUAGCAUGUGAUCCAUAUGAGCUGCUGCAUUUUACUCACACAGACCUAGCCACACAUCUAAAUUACAGUAUUAAAAAUUAAUAUAAGCUUAAAAAUGUUUAGAUUUUCUUGCUACAAAAUUUCACUGUUUGUAGUUUUCUUCUUCAUCUAUAAUGAAGGAAUCGGAAGUCAGAAGUGUUCGCCUUUAGGAGGGGAGUGUGGGAGAUUUAUACGACCGGACAAACCAGACGUGCAGUGUUGUCCGAGACUGGACUGCUAUUAUGCACCUGCUUUUGGAAAGUCUGGUGUUUGCAUUGAAAAUUAUGACACGAUGAUAAAUCUUUGACAGAUAUAUGACUAAGAUAUUAAAAGAUUGAAACAUUA